Molecule: ribosomal RNA, 627 nt
Filed under: Protoparmelia phaeonesos
Lineage: Eukaryota; Fungi; Ascomycota; Lecanoromycetes; Lecanorales; Parmeliaceae
Description: eukaryotic LSU rRNA
Rfam family: Eukaryotic large subunit ribosomal RNA
Source: RNAcentral
AACCCCAUGUGAAACCCCUUCGACGAGUCGAGUUGUUUGGGAAUGCAGCUCAAAAUGGGUGGUAAAUUUCAUCUAAAGCUAAAUACCGGCCAGAGACCGAUAGCGCACAAGUAGAGUGAUCGAAAGAUGAAAAGCACUUUGGAAAGAGAGUCAAAAAGUACGUGAAAUUGUUGAAAGAGAAGCGCUUGCAACCAGACCUGUCCGCCGGCGAUCAACCCCCGUUCUUCGGGGGUGCACUCGUCGGCGACCAGGCCAGCAUCGGUUCGGGCGGUCGGAUAAAGGCCGUGGGAAUGUAGCUCCUCUUGGGGAGUCUUAUAGCCCUCGGUGCAAUGCGGCCAGCUGGGACCGAGGACCGCGCUUCGGCUAGGAUGCUGGCGUAAUGGUUGUAAGCGACCCGUCUUGAAACACGGACCAAGGAGUCUAACAUCUAUGCAAGUGUUUGGGUGUCAAGCCCAUACGCGUAAUGAAAGUGAACGGAGGUGAGAACCCUUAAGGGCGCAUCAUCGACCGAUCCAGAUGUCUUCGGAUGGAUUUGAGUACRAGCAUAGCUGUUGGGACCCGAAAGAUGGUGAACUAUGCCUGAAUAGGGUGAAGCCAGAGGAAACUCUGGUGGAGGCUCGCAGCGGU